Molecule: ribosomal RNA, 118 nt
Filed under: Octodon degus (degu)
Lineage: Eukaryota; Metazoa; Chordata; Mammalia; Rodentia; Octodontidae
Source: RNAcentral
GUAUACGGCCAUACCACCCUGAACUUGCCCGAUCUCAUCUGAUCUUGGAAGCUAAGCAGAGUCGGGCCUGGUUAGUACUUGGAUGGGAAAUAGAUGGAAUUGACAGAGGAUGGAUAGU